This 371-nucleotide long non-coding RNA is filed under the name Homo sapiens (human). Its description in RNAcentral is "HSALNT0352454". The record is from RNAcentral. Lineage: Eukaryota; Metazoa; Chordata; Mammalia; Primates; Hominidae.
UCCCACGGUUGUCUUAGAAACCAGUCCCCGAGGCUUGGCAGAGCAGGAGCCCUCCGUGGCAGUGCUUGGGUGUCCAGGCUCUGAGGCUCCGGCCUCACCUCUCCACGGGGUCGAAGGGAACGUCUCCGGAUGCCAGGAGUCGCAAAGGGCCGACCAUGAUGAUGAAACCCCAGGCGGAGACGGGGGAAGCAGCACGGGAUCCCAGCCUCAGGCCUGCACAGACGGUGUUGGUUGGGACCAAAUGGGUCACCGGCUACUGAAAAAGAAUCCAGACCUCUGAAAGGGAUCCGGGACCGCGGUCUUUGCUUGCUUCAUGAAAAAUCGGCUGGUCUCCAAACUCGCGAAGGAAAAUUCAAGGCGCCUCAACUCCU